RNAcentral lists this long non-coding RNA (443 nucleotides) under Malus domestica (apple). RNAcentral describes it as "long non-coding RNA (MDOM_LNC008276)". The record is from RNAcentral. Lineage: Eukaryota; Viridiplantae; Streptophyta; Magnoliopsida; Rosales; Rosaceae.
GCACAUUAAUUUUGUUGGAGUUAUGAAGGCUGAAUUCUAUUAUUAGCCCUAAAGCCUUAAAGGUAUGGCUGAUAUUUUAAAACAUUGUUUUUUACAAGAGAUAAUCUUGAAGUGGGAACAAAACUCCCAUGAAAAAAUGUAUAAUAACUUAAAUAAGUAUGGUGGCAUAAUGUUUAGUUUAUUUAUGUUUUUUCAUUUGAUUAAUCAAAUAAGUAAAAUCUUUUGUAAACUAGAAAAUCUUUUCACUUGGUAGCUCGUUCUUCAUCUUCUUCUUCUUCCUCCUUUCUCCCCAUAAUCCCCACCUCCCACUAUUCGAUUUGCCUUUCUAGACCAACCCAUUUUUGUCCUCGACCCUAAAAAUGGGCAAGUGGACUUAGUCCCAGCGGUCGACGUCCUCCAGAAGCUUGAAAGACAGGACCUUGUUGUCCACCUCCACGUCGAAC